AGUCUUGACCAAUUCGAAAGAUCAUUUGGUGUAGUUGAAAUAACAUAAUUGGAACUUGUUUGGUCAGGAAACUCAAUCAAAUUCAUAACUGUCUCAAUAUAACCUUUUCCUUCUUUUUUUCUAAAUAUUCAGUUAAGACCAUUCCAAGGCUCCUUUUUGCCAUGCAUAAACUAA
Molecule: ribosomal RNA, 174 nt
Filed under: Triticum aestivum (bread wheat)
Lineage: Eukaryota; Viridiplantae; Streptophyta; Magnoliopsida; Poales; Poaceae
Description: partial small subunit ribosomal RNA
Source: RNAcentral